ACUAGUUUAGUCUAGUGGUUAUCUACUGAUUCUUUAAAAGUGACUGUAAUCAAAAGGUUGUGGGUUCAAUUCCCACUACCAGCA
Non-coding RNA from Mycena latifolia, 84 nucleotides. The record is from the annotation of a GenBank genome assembly. NCBI's taxonomy places the organism in Eukaryota, Fungi, Basidiomycota, Agaricomycetes, Agaricales, Mycenaceae.